This is a long non-coding RNA of Brassica napus (rape), 1204 nucleotides long. RefSeq lists it as uncharacterized. Lineage: Eukaryota; Viridiplantae; Streptophyta; Magnoliopsida; Brassicales; Brassicaceae. The record is from RefSeq and is a predicted model, not a curated record. The transcript is spliced from 3 exons.
GAAAGAACAGUUCUUCUGGACACGUGUUGGAUGGGCAUUGGAUAGGUUUUUUUGGGAGCAAAACAAAAGUUCAACUCGACAUCAGAUUUGGGUUGUAUCUUCCCCGAAGAUUUGUCGGAGGUAGCCUCGACUAAGGCUUUGAUGAUGGCGGGAUCGGCGCCGUAGAGUCUUACCUUCUAGAUUGAAGUGGAUUGGAGGAGCUUGGCGGUUUCAAAAGGCGGAGGGAGGUUGUCGGCGACUUGACCGUAGUUAACUCCGAUGAAGGGCUCUGCAUCUGUACAGAAACAGAGUGUGACAGGUUUGUAGUUGAUAAUAUGAAAGAGUUUGCAUCUGAUCUUGAAAGGAAUUAAGACGAGCUGUGCAAGAAUGAGAAGCACCGCACUCAGCUGAAAGAAGAGACUUUGUCUCAUCGAGAAGGAUGGCAGAGAACCAGGAGGAAGCAAAAGUGGUCAAAGUCUCGGCGAUUCAAGUUCAAAAUAAAUCCAGAGGAACAGCUUGGAAGUUGUUUGACGUUCUCAGGACAUAGCCUUAAAGAUGAAUGCACAGAGAAUGAAGCUUGGUUCAAAUAUAUAAAAAACAACUUUGGGAAGAGGAGUUCCUUUCCAGAUUCUGUUGGAAGACUUUCAUGGAAAGAAAUUACAUGGUUGUGGGGUUCUAAUGGUGUUGGAACAAGUCACAGACAGAGAUACUCUUGUUCUGCAACACACUCCAUUCAAAGGAUUCAAGUUUCAACAUGUUAAGAAUGUGGAUUGGCUGAUUACUGUUUGUGUGUUAAGCUGGUUGCGUACAACUUCAAAGAAGGGAAAAACUGAGAUAAUACAAAGAGAUUCUAUGGAGAGGAAAUCUGAGAAACUGCAGAGAGCUUCAAAACAUAGGAUGUACCUCUGCCAUCAGGAGACAUCCUCACUCCCAAUAGUCUUCAAAGUCUUGGUGUUUCUGGUUUAGGAUCAAGUACUGGUUUUGAGCGCCUAGGAUCAAGUACUGGUUUUGAGCGCCUGCAUUACAUGUUGGAGAGAGUAUGGGAGCCUAUUUUAGUUCCUGGAUCACCAACGCGUAUUAGUCACUUCUUCUUAAACGUUGUAAGAGAAUUGUUAGUCUCAGUGUAUUAUCUGUUCUAAAAAUGGAAUCAAUAGUCUGAUAUGCUUGGAUCUGUUUUGCAGUUUGAGACUUGAUGUUUUUUUGAUACAAACCCACUUUUGACAUU